CUCAGACACGCUGCUAACAAGGAGCGACAACGGGAGCUACUGGACGCUGUUUUCAACCCUCAGCUUCGGUUCCACAGAGCAGGUUUGGUCAUUAAACCUUCAGUUGAUCUUUCUCUCCUUCCUGUCAUCUGUUCUCUCAGCAACCAUAUGACGAUAGGACGUAUGUAAAUAAGCAUUUGUACAUAGAUUUAUUGUAAUCUUCGCUCUUUAACAGGCCUUCGCCAAACCCACCAGACUCCAUGUAAAUAAUCAGUACUUUUAUCAUCGUAAAACACACUGCAUUCAAAGUGGACAGAAACACAAUAAAACU
Molecule: long non-coding RNA, 310 nt
Organism: Sander lucioperca (pikeperch)
Lineage: Eukaryota; Metazoa; Chordata; Actinopteri; Perciformes; Percidae
Exons: 3
Source: RefSeq, a predicted model, not a curated record